CCUACGGGAGGCAGCAGUAGGGCAUCUUUCACAAUGGGCGAAAGCCUGAUGGAGCAACGCCGCGUGCAGGAUGAAGGCCUUCGGGUUGUAAACUGCUUUUAUAAGCGAGAAAUAUGAUGGUAACUUAUGAAUAAGGAUCGGCUAACUACGUGCCAGCAGCCGCGGUCAUACGUAGGAUCCGAGCAUUAUCCGGGGUGACUGGGUGUAAAGAGUUGCGUAGGUGGCAUAAUAAGUAGCUAGUGAAAUCUGGUGGCUCAAACAUUCAGACUAUUAGCUAAACUGUUAAGCUCGAGACCGUUAGGGGUAACUGGAAUUUCUAGUGUAGGAGUGAAAUCCGUAGAUAUUAGAAGGAACACCAAUAGCGUAGGCAGGUUGCUGGGACGGUUCUGACACUAAGGCACGAAAGCGUAGGGAGCAAACGGGAUUAGAUACCCUUGUAGUC
RNAcentral lists this ribosomal RNA (442 nucleotides) under uncultured bacterium. RNAcentral describes it as "partial 16S ribosomal RNA". It matches the Rfam family "Bacterial small subunit ribosomal RNA", at positions 338 to 795 of the family's 1533-position model. The record is from RNAcentral.